GAAGUGGCAACGACACGGUCGGCGGGGGUCGGGGGACGGCCAUCAAAUGUUAUACGCGAGGUUCCAAUCUUGGUUCUACACAUACGCUGUUCGUUUCCAGUCCUUAAAAUCCUUAGUUCUUAUACUCACAGACGGACCAUACGAGGCAAUCGCGGCCAUAGAUAUAUAUUAUAGAGCCUUUCUCGGAGGAUCGUAUUACUACUAUUAUCUGUGUUAAUUUUUAACAGUCUGAUCAUACAUUUAUGUUCAUUAUAAAUUGUGUGUAUUUGACAAAUUGGACGUAUACAAUACUACGACUCAUUACCAUUUGAAAUAUUUUGAUCAAAAUAUUCAGCCUGUAAUGCGUCAAAAGCAGUAAUUGCAGAGAUCUUACCAGAAAAGGACUCAUUAAAGUAAAUAAUGUACAGUUAU
Long non-coding RNA from Acyrthosiphon pisum (pea aphid), 411 nucleotides. RefSeq lists it as uncharacterized. The record is from RefSeq and is a predicted model, not a curated record. Lineage: Eukaryota; Metazoa; Arthropoda; Insecta; Hemiptera; Aphididae. The transcript is spliced from 3 exons.